GACGAACGCUGGCGGCGUGCCUAACACAUGCAAGUCAACUUGACUGAAGGAGCAAUCUGACAGUAGAGUGGCGCAAGGGUGCGUAACGCGUAAGUAACUUGCCCAAGGUAAGGAAUAACGUCGAGAAAUCGGCGCUAAUACCUCAUAAUGCAGCGGAUCCGCAUGGAUAUGUUGUUAAAGGUUUACCGCCUUGGGAUAGGCUUGCGUCUGAUUAGCUAGUUGGUGUGGUAACGGCACACCAAGGCUACGAUCAGUAACUGGUCUGAGAGGAUGAUCAGUCACACUGGAACUGAGACACGGUCCAGACUCCUACGGGAGGCAGCAGUGAGGAAUAUUGGGCAAUGCUCGAAAGAGUGACCCAGCAACGCCGCGUGGAGGAUGAAGGUAUUCUAUAUCGUAAACUCCUAGUGAGAGCAGACGAAAGACAGAUUAUUAAUCUGGAUGACUGUAUGCUCAGAGGAAG
RNAcentral lists this ribosomal RNA (463 nucleotides) under uncultured bacterium. RNAcentral describes it as "bacterial SSU rRNA". It matches the Rfam family "Bacterial small subunit ribosomal RNA", at positions 28 to 490 of the family's 1533-position model. The record is from RNAcentral.